AUUGAUUCGCCGUAGCAUUGGAUGUCGUUGUCGAAGCUGAAAUACCCAAGUUAAGAAUAUCCUGUAGCAAACCAGUUUGAGCCGAUUGAUUUAAGUGAUUAAAUGGAAGAGUGACCCACUCAUCAGUGGCCAAGGUAUUAAACAACGUGGGCCAAAAUAAUUCUUGGUGACCCGCUGCAUUCGAGGAUUCACCAAUCUCAAAGAUGGAGUUCCCAAUAUGUGGCCUUGAAGAUUCGCCCACCUCAAAGGUGGAGUUCAUAAAACGGGGCCUUAUGAAUGGUGGAGAAUCUAGGUCACACCCAACCAGUGACGGACCUGGGCUUGUGCCUGGUGGGUCAAGUGACUCACCAGGGCCCAAAAAAAAUUUUAAGUUUUUUUUUUUUUUUUUUAAAAUAAAAAAUAAAAAAUACUAACGUCUGAAAAUCCGUCCCUCAAGUUCGCAUCUUCCUCUUCGCCUCUUCCUCAGACCUCAGUUCCUCUUCGCUAGUUCGCUUCAUCUUCCUCUUCGCAUAAUUUCAGUUUGCUCACGCCUCCAGUGCUGGCUGUGCUACUGGCCUGCUGGCUGCUGCUCGCCUAGUCGACUGCUCCAGCCUCCAGUGCUCUGUGCAGCUGUGCUCUAUCCUCUGCUGCUCGCCUAGUCGCCUGCUCCAGUGCCUAGUCGCUGACUUGCUGUCUUGCUGAGUGUUGGGCAUGGCCCUGCUGCAGUGCUGCUCCGCCUGCUCCGCUGCUCGCCUCAAUCAUUCAGCGCCUGCCGCCUGCCGCCUCCGCCUAGCAAGGUAGGUAAUCAUCAAUUGAUUCUUUUUUUUUUUUUGUGAAUUUUUUAUCAAAUUUGCAUUACUUGUCUCUUAAAAUUAGUAUAUACGGUGAAUGUUCAUUGAAUUUGCAUUAUUUGUGCAAAUUGUGUUUUGACUGUUAAAUUGAACUUAUUAGUUUAUCUGUUUAUGUCAUUAUGUGAAAUUGUGAAUAUGUGAUGUCGGACAUUGUAUAAGACAACAAUUAAACUAUUAGUGUAAGGAGGAUUAUAAAUUUAUAAUUAGAUUACAGUUUGGACUGGUUAGUGCUUAGUGGUGCUAGUCGCAUAUUCGGCUGGAAGUUCCGUAUAGACUAGUGGAGAUAUUAGUUUGUUGAUUUUAGUCUUGUCAAUUUUAAGCUUUUUAAUUAUUAGUUAGUAUUGUAAUCUUGUCAAUUUUCUAUUUGGAUGAUCUUUGUAAAUAAUUUUUCUGGGGAAUAUUGCUUGAUUUAGUUGAAUAUUGCUUGAUUUAGUUGAAUAUGAACCGUCCAACCAAUUAUGAAUAGGGGUAAUUCGAUGUUGGGGUUAUUUGCAUAUGAUUCAUACUUGUGAUUUCAUUUGUUUUGUUAACUUUGUGUUUGAUUAGGUUGUUGAAUUUAUAUGCAGGGAAGACUCAGCUUAUCAAUCAUUUUCUAAUCAACAAGAGUUGGUAUAUUGUUAAUUUGCCUGGAUAUGGGUGAGUCUCUGUAAUUUUGGUUUUAAUUUGGGCAAUUUCUGUAAUUCUUGAGUCUAUUUCAUGCUGGGAAUAUUGUAUACUUGUAUUGUGAAUCAAUUGUUAUUCGUGUUUAUUCCUGAUCAUAUGCUUGAAUCAUAUUGAAGUGCCGAAAAAGGAUUGCUUUUACGCCUUGAGGCAUUGCUUCAAAAUUAUUGAUCAUCCUGUAAAACAUGUUGCGGACUGAUAUGUAUUUAGGCUACAUCCGUUGUAGUUAAUUUGGUCUCCAAUCGUGUUGUUUAUUUUCAAGUUUAGGAAGUAAAUGUCUCCUUACAUGU
Molecule: long non-coding RNA, 1780 nt
Organism: Chenopodium quinoa (quinoa)
Lineage: Eukaryota; Viridiplantae; Streptophyta; Magnoliopsida; Caryophyllales; Amaranthaceae
Exons: 2
Source: RefSeq, a predicted model, not a curated record